RNAcentral lists this ribosomal RNA (881 nucleotides) under Cordyceps tenuipes. Its description in RNAcentral is "partial large subunit ribosomal RNA". It matches the Rfam family "Eukaryotic large subunit ribosomal RNA", at positions 50 to 966 of the family's 3401-position model. Lineage: Eukaryota; Fungi; Ascomycota; Sordariomycetes; Hypocreales; Cordycipitaceae. The record is from RNAcentral.
CAGCAGGAGCAGACCACAGGGAUUGCCCCAGUAACGGCGAGUGAAGCGGCAACAGCUCAAAUUUGAAAUCUGGCCCCCGGGUCCGAGUUGUAAUUUGCAGAGGAUGCUUCGGGCGAGGUGCCUUCCGAGUUCCCUGGAACGGGACGCCACAGAGGGUGAGAGCCCCGUCUGGUCGGACACCGAGCCCGUGUGAAGCUCCUUCGAAGAGUCGAGUAGUUUGGGAAUGCUGCUCAAAAUGGGAGGUAUAUGUCUUCUAAAGCUAAAUAUUGGCCAGAGACCGAUAGCGCACAAGUAGAGUGAUCGAAAGAUGAAAAGCACUUUGAAAAGAGGGUUAAAAAGUACGUGAAAUUGUUGAAAGGGAAGCGCCCAUGACCAGACUUGGGCCCGGUGAAUCACCCGGCGUUCUCGCCGGUGCACUUUGCCGGGCACAGGCCAGCAUCAGUUUGGCGCGGGGGACAAAGGCUUCGGGAACGUGGCUCCCUCGGGAGUGUUAUAGCCCGCUGCGUAAUACCCUGCGCCGGACUGAGGUACGCGCAUCGCAAGGAUGCUGGCGUAAUGGUCAUCAGCGACCCGUCUUGAAACACGGACCAAGGAGUCGUCUUCGUAUGCGAGUGUUCGGGUGUCAAACCCCUACGCGGAAUGAAAGUGAACGCAGGUGAGAGCUUCGGCGCAUCAUCGACCGAUCCUGAUGUUCUCGGAUGGAUUUGAGUAAGAGCAUACGGGGCCGGACCCGAAAGAAGGUGAACUAUGCCUGUAUAGGGUGAAGCCAGAGGAAACUCUGGUGGAAGCUCGCAGCGGUUCUGACGUGCGAAUCGAUCGUCAAAUAUGGGCAUGGGGGCGAAAGACUAAUCGAACCUUCUAGUAGCUGGUUUCCGCCGAGU